Long non-coding RNA from Cebus imitator (Panamanian white-faced capuchin), 870 nucleotides. RefSeq lists it as uncharacterized. The transcript has 7 exons. Lineage: Eukaryota; Metazoa; Chordata; Mammalia; Primates; Cebidae. The record is from RefSeq and is a predicted model, not a curated record.
AGGACUGGGGCAAAACAGUGAGGCAAAAGAGCACGGAAUUAGAUGUCCAGAGACCUGGGUCUUAAUUCCAUCCUGACAACUACUACUUGUACGACCUUGAGCAAGUCCUUUGCCUUUCUACUUAUAAAAUGAGGUCAAAUGAGUCCCAGAGAGCUGAAGCAACUUGGUCAAGGUCACCCGGGUCCUGGCUUUAGAUUGACAUCUCAGUGCCAACAUGCCACCUCCCACAGGCUCAAGAAUUUGUUUCCUGCCCCUGAACAGUAUUAAAGCCUGAGCCUCUGUGCAAAUAAGACCAGCUCUAACACCAAUACCACUCUCAUCUAUGCUACUUCAGGUUUUCUAAUUCCGGAAGGCCCUCCAGAGGUGUACAUGCAGGUCACGGGGGUCGUUAGAGUAUCCAUGGCACCAUCAGUCAGCCUAAAAGACCUUACGUUUACAUCCUUGAUGCAUAGCAUGGAGCCUGACAGGUGUGUCCUCACCCUGCAGCACAGUGAAGCAUGGCAAGAGGACCCUGCGUCAGGGAAACUAACCUGCAGUCCCUGCCAACUCUACCCAGUGGAAGGAAGAGUCCAGCAGGCUGGAAUCUCUCCAAGGAUCCACCUUUCUUCUCCAAACCAGGAUCCUUAAGCCUGGCUUGAAAGAAGAGGGAGAAGGCUUCAGGGGAAAUGCUGUCUGCGCUGACCCACAGCAUGGCUUCCUUCAACAAAUGUAGAGAAGGAAAGCAAAGCCCAGAGAGGGAAAUUCUCACCCAAGGCCUUGUAGCUGCUGGCAGUGGAGUAGCCUCUAGUCUCUCAGGCCAGUGUCUUGCCACUGUGAAGAAGAGGAAUGGUCAAACCCACUGCGGAGAGAGAAUGUGUCAUUGACCACACU